UUUCCGGUUGAUCCCGCCAGAGGUUACUGCUAUCGAGAUUCGAUUAAGCCAUGCGAGUUGAAUGUUCUUCGUGAACAUGGCGGACUGCUCAGUAACACGUGGACAACCUACCCUUGGAUCUGGGAUAAACCCGGGAAACUGGGCAUAAUACCGGAUAAGCCACAUAUGCUGGAAUGCUUUGUGGCUCAAAGCUCCGGCGUCCAAGGAUGGGUCUGCGGCCUAUCAGGGUAGUAGUGGGUGUAAUGUACCUACUAGCCUACGACGGGUACGGGUUGUGAGAGCAAGAGCCCGGAGAUGGAUUCUGAGACACGAAUCCAGGCCCUACGGGGUGCAGCAGGCGCGAAAACUUUACAAUGCGGGAAACCGCGAUAAGGGAAUCUCGAGUGCCAGCAUAUAAUGUUGGCUGUCCAGAUGCCUAAAAAGCAUUUGUUAGCAAGGGCCGGGCAAGACCGGUGCCAGCCGCCGCGGUAACACCGGCGGCCCGAGUGGUAACCGUUAUUAUUGGGUCUAAAGGGUCUGUAGCCGGCCGAAUAAGUCUCUUGGGAAACCUGGCAGCUUAACUGUCAGGCAGUCAGGGGAUACUGUUCGGCUUGGGACCGGGAGAGGUGAGAGGUACCUCGGGGGUAGGGGUGAAAUCUUGUGAUCCUCGAGGGACCACCAGUGGCGAAGGCGUCUCACCAGAACGGGUCCGACGGUAAGGGACGAAAGCUAGGGGCACGAACCGGAUUAGAUACCCGGGUAGUCCUAGCCGUAAACGAUGCUUGCUAGGUGUCAGCCACGGUGCGACCGUGGUUGGUGCCGUAGGGAAGCCGUGAAGCGAGCCACCUGGGAAGUACGGCCGCAAGGCUGAAACUUAAAGGAAUUGGCGGGGGAGCACUACAACGGGUGGAGCCUGCGGUUUAAUUGGAUUCAACGCCGGGA
Molecule: ribosomal RNA, 921 nt
Filed under: uncultured archaeon
Lineage: Archaea
Description: bacterial SSU rRNA
Rfam family: Archaeal small subunit ribosomal RNA
Source: RNAcentral